This is a long non-coding RNA of Salvelinus sp. IW2-2015, 646 nucleotides long. RefSeq lists it as uncharacterized. NCBI's taxonomy places the organism in Eukaryota, Metazoa, Chordata, Actinopteri, Salmoniformes, Salmonidae. The record is from RefSeq and is a predicted model, not a curated record. The transcript has 4 exons.
ACUGUAGGGGAUCAUUGAGGAUUCAGUGGAGGCACAUCCAUCAACUAUCACUUUUAUUAUUCAAAAUACAGGAGACGGAGGAGGUACGAAUUAGAACCGAGGGUCGACUGCCUGAGAUCAGUUUCACGAAGAACGAUGAAAAGAAGUGACCACUCCACUAUGAUUGUCAACUCUCUCCUGACAUGAACUGAAGCCACGUCUCAUGUUCCCGCUCAUCCACUGUUACAUUUAAUGUUUCCUCUCCAAGCACUUCAAAUCCUGUCCUGCACUGAAGUCAAGCCUCCACUGGUCUCUGCCCUUGAAUGUCUGCAUUGGACAUCACUUGGCCUUCAUGGAGCAGCCAUGUACCACCACCCUCUCAAUAUAUCAUUAGUCAAAUGCAGGCUAUACCACGCCAGAGUUCUAUCCAAAUAUAAAGAUGGCAAGCUUAGUUCGGCAACUUUUGAUCAUCUUACAUGAGAUUUUAACUACAGUCAGACAUUAUUAUGAGGUAAAUAUAAUGUAACCUACCUUUGUGAUGUCAUACAUGCUCACAUGGGAGACAAAUACAGUUGAACUUUCUUCGGGUGUUUAAUUUUCCCAUUGAGACCAAGGUGUCUUCUGCAAGGGAGCCCUGCAUCUUACAAUUAAACAACAAAUUACACAU